UACGAAGGGGGCUAGCGUUGUUCGGAUUUACUGGGCGUAAAGCGCACGUAGGCGGAUUGUUAAGUCGGGGGUGAAAUCCUGGAGCUCAACUUCAGAAUUGCCUUCGAUACUGGCUGUCUGGAGGUCGAGAGAGGUGAGUGGAAUUCCUGGUGUAGCGGUGAAAUGCGCAGAUAUCAGGAGGAACACCCAUUGCGAAGGCAGCUCGCUGGGACGUUACUGACGCUGAGACGCGAAAGCGUGGGGAGCAAACAGG
Molecule: ribosomal RNA, 253 nt
Filed under: uncultured bacterium
Lineage: Bacteria
Description: partial 16S ribosomal RNA
Rfam family: Bacterial small subunit ribosomal RNA
Source: RNAcentral